CCGCUUUCAGCAAGGAAGAAGCGAAAGUGACGGUACUUGCAGAAGAAGCACCGGCUAACUAUGUGCCAGCAGCCGCGGUAAUACAUAGGGUGCAAGCGUUGUCCGGAAUUAUUGGGCGUAAAGAGCUCGUAGGUGGUUCGUCACGUCGGAUGUGAAAAUCUGGGGCUUAACCCCAGACCUGCAUUCGAUACGGGCGAGCUAGAGUGUGGUAGGGGAGACUGGAAUUCCUGGUGUAGCGGUGGAAUGCGCAGAUAUCAGGAGGAACACCAAUGGCGAAGGCAGGUCUCUGGGCCAUUACUGACACUGAGGAGCGAAAGCGUGGGGAGCGAACAGGAUUAGAUACCCUGGUAGUCCACGCCGU
Molecule: ribosomal RNA, 361 nt
Filed under: uncultured Actinomycetes bacterium
Lineage: Bacteria; Bacillati; Actinomycetota; Actinomycetes
Description: bacterial SSU rRNA
Rfam family: Bacterial small subunit ribosomal RNA
Source: RNAcentral